RNAcentral lists this ribosomal RNA (253 nucleotides) under uncultured bacterium. Its description in RNAcentral is "partial 16S ribosomal RNA". It matches the Rfam family "Bacterial small subunit ribosomal RNA", at positions 524 to 776 of the family's 1533-position model. The record is from RNAcentral.
UACAGAGGCCCCGAGCGUUAAUCGGAAUCACUGGGCUUAAAGGGCGCGUAGGCGGUCCAGCAAGUGCUUUGUGAAAGCCCCCGGCUCAACCGGGGAACCGCGGGGCAUACUGCUGGUCUUGAGGCAGGUAAGGGUCGCCGGAACAGUAGGUGGAGCGGUGAAAUGCGUAGAUAUCGGGAGGAACACCAGUGGCGAAGGCGGCACUCUGGGCCGGUACUGACGCUGAGGAGCGAAAGCGUGGGGAGCGAACAGG